This 306-nucleotide ribosomal RNA is filed under the name Triticum aestivum (bread wheat). Its description in RNAcentral is "partial small subunit ribosomal RNA". The record is from RNAcentral. Lineage: Eukaryota; Viridiplantae; Streptophyta; Magnoliopsida; Poales; Poaceae.
AUGAACUUCAUGAUGGGUAAGAGAAAAUCUUUCUUCGCAAGUGAAGCCUUGGAUUUGCCAGAGACUAAGAAAUUAGUAAGCAACAAAAUUAUGCUUGCUUACAAUUCAAAUUACUUGUUGUUGCUUUCUGGCCCAGUUCUGAGACAGAUUAUUUGUUUCAUUGGUUCAAUCAAAUUGUUAGGCUCUGGAUUUCAUACUGCAUGCAAAUUGCAUGGCCACCAAUAUAUAAUCUUCUGGAAAUUGUGUUUUUAUAGGUCAACUUCUUUUGUUUACCUUCAAACCAAUGGCAUACGACAUGCUCCAUGA